RNAcentral lists this ribosomal RNA (494 nucleotides) under uncultured bacterium. RNAcentral describes it as "partial 16S ribosomal RNA". It matches the Rfam family "Bacterial small subunit ribosomal RNA", at positions 28 to 507 of the family's 1533-position model. The record is from RNAcentral.
GACGAACGCUGGCGGCGUGCUUAACACAUGCAAGUCGAACGGAAAGGCCUGCUUUCCCUUGUGGAUUGCGGGUACUCGAGUGGCGAACGGGUGAGUAACACGUGAGUGAUCUGCCCCCAACUUGGGUAUAAGCCUGGGAAACUGGGUCUAAUUCCCGAUAGGACUGCAGGGUGGUGCCUGUGGUGGAAAACGAUUUUCUAGUGGUUGGGGAUGAGCUCGCGGCCUAUCAGCUUGUUUGUGGGGUAAUGGCCUACCAAGGCGGCGACGGGUAGCCGGCCUGAGAGGGUGGACGGCCACAUUGGGACUGAGACACGGCCCAGACUCCUACGGGAGGCAGCAGUGGGGAAUAUUGCACAAUGGGCGGAAGCCUGAUGCAGCGACGCCGCGUGGGGGAUGACGGCCUUCGGGUUGUAAACUCCUUUCGACCGCGAGGAAGCCACCUGGUUGGAAGGGUGGUGACGGUAGUGGUAGAAGAAGCACCGGCUAACUACGUG